AUAAGCGUCGGCUAACUACGUGCCAGCAGCCGCGGUAAGACGUAGGACGCGAGCGUUAUCCGGAUUUACUGGGCGUAAAGCGUGUGUAGGCGGCGUGACAAGGUUGGGCGUGAAAGCCCCGUGCUCAACGCGGGGAGGCCGCACAAUACUGUCAAGGGCUAGAGGGCACCAGAGGGGUGUGGAAUUUCCCGGGAGUAGCGGUAAAAAUGCGCAGAUAUCGGGAGGAACACCGGUGGCGAAAGCGGCACCCUGGGGUGCGCCUGACGCUGAGAGACGACAGCUAGGGGAGCGAACAGGAUUAGAGACCCUGGUAGUCCUAGCCGUAAACGAUGGAUGCUAGGUGUAGGAGUGAAGAGCUUCUGUGCCGCAGCGAACGCGAUAAGCAACCCGCCUGGGGAGUACGGCCGCAAGGUUAAAACUCAAACGAAUUGACGGGGACCCGCACAAGCAGCGGAGCGUGUGGUUUAAUUCGAUGCUACACGAAGAACCUUACCUGGGAUUGACAUAUAGGUGGUAGUGAUCCGAAAGGAGAGCGACCCUUCGGGGAGCCUAUACAGGUGCUGCAUGGCUGUCGUCAGCUCGUGCCGUGAGGUGUCGGGUUAAGUCCCGUAACGAGCGCAAC
RNAcentral lists this ribosomal RNA (622 nucleotides) under uncultured organism. Its description in RNAcentral is "bacterial SSU rRNA". It matches the Rfam family "Bacterial small subunit ribosomal RNA", at positions 486 to 1102 of the family's 1533-position model. The record is from RNAcentral.